Molecule: ribosomal RNA, 450 nt
Filed under: uncultured bacterium
Lineage: Bacteria
Description: partial 16S ribosomal RNA
Rfam family: Bacterial small subunit ribosomal RNA
Source: RNAcentral
GUGGGGAAUAUUGGACAAUGGGCGAAAGCCUGAUCCAGCCAUGCCGCGUGUGUGAAGAAGGUCUUCGGAUUGUAAAGCACUUUAAGUUGGGAGGAAGGGUAGUAACCUAAUACGUUGCUACUUUGACGUUACCGACAGAAUAAGCACCGGCUAACUUCGUGCCAGCAGUCGCGGUAAUACGAAGGGUGCAAGCGUUAAUCGGAAUUACUGGGCGUAAAGCGCGCGUAGGUGGUUCAGUAAGUUGGAAGUGAAAUCCCCGGGCUCAACCUGGGAACUGCUUUCAAAACUGCUGAGCUAGAGUACGGUAGAGGGUGGUGGAAUUUCCUGUGUAGCGGUGAAAUGCGUAGAUAUAGGAAGGAACACCAGUGGCGAAGGCGACCACCUGGACUGAUACUGACACUGAGGUGCGAAAGCGUGGGGAGCAAACAGGAUUAGAUACCCGAGUAGUCC